CCUACGGGUGGCUGCAGUGGGGAAUAUUGGACAAUGGGCGGAAGCCUGAUCCAGCAAUGCCGCGUGUGUGAAGAAGGCCUGCGGGUUGUAAAGCACUUUAAGCAGGAAAGAAGGGGUGGGAGCUAAUACCUUUCAUCAUUGACGUUACCUGCAGAAUAAGCACCGGCUAACUCCGUGCCAGCAGCCGCGGUAAUACGGAGGGUGCGAGCGUUAAUCGGAAUUACUGGGCUGAAAGCGCGCGUAGGCGGAUCCCUGGGCUUAACCUGGGAACUGCGGUGGAUACUGUCUGGCUAGAGUGUGGUAGAGGGCAGUGGAAUUUCCGGUGUAGCAGUGAAAUGCGUAGAGAUCGGAAGGAACACCAGUGGCGAAGGCGGCUGCCUGGACCAACACUGACGCUGAGGUGCGAAAGCGUGGGGAGCAAACAGGAUUAGAUACCCCAGUAGUC
Molecule: ribosomal RNA, 445 nt
Filed under: uncultured bacterium
Lineage: Bacteria
Description: partial 16S ribosomal RNA
Rfam family: Bacterial small subunit ribosomal RNA
Source: RNAcentral